This 379-nucleotide ribosomal RNA is filed under the name uncultured Lampropedia sp. RNAcentral's name for it is "bacterial SSU rRNA". It matches the Rfam family "Bacterial small subunit ribosomal RNA", at positions 1004 to 1382 of the family's 1533-position model. Lineage: Bacteria; Pseudomonadati; Pseudomonadota; Betaproteobacteria; Burkholderiales; Comamonadaceae. The record is from RNAcentral.
AGAUUUGGGAGUGCUCGCAAGAGAACCGGAACACAGGUGCUGCAUGGCUGUCGUCAGCUCGUGUCGUGAGAUGUUGGGUUAAGUCCCGCAACGAGCGCAACCCUUGUCAUUAGUUGCCAUCAUUUGGUUGGGCACUCUAAUGAGACUGCCGGUGACAAACCGGAGGAAGGUGGGGAUGACGUCAAGUCCUCAUGGCCCUUAUAGGUGGGGCUACACACGUCAUACAAUGGCUGGUACAAAGGGUUGCCAACCCGCGAGGGGGAGCCAAUCCCAUAAAGCCAGUCGUAGUCCGGAUCGCAGUCUGCAACUCGACUGCGUGAAGUCGGAAUCGCUAGUAAUCGUGGAUCAGCAUGUCACGGUGAAUACGUUCCCGGGUCUU